Molecule: ribosomal RNA, 422 nt
Filed under: uncultured bacterium
Lineage: Bacteria
Description: bacterial SSU rRNA
Rfam family: Bacterial small subunit ribosomal RNA
Source: RNAcentral
UAAGGAAUAUUGGACAAUGGUCGCAAGACUGAUCCAGCCAUGCCGCGUGCAGGAAGACGGCCCUAUGGGUUGUAAACUGCUUUUGUACCAGAGAAAACCUAUCUACGUGUAGAUAGCUGAUAGUAUGGUAAGAAUAAGCAUCGGCUAACUUCGUGCCAGCAGCCGCGGUAAGACGAAGGAUGCAAGCGUUAUCCGGCUUCAUUGGGUUUAAAGGGUGCGUAGGCGGGCUUGUAAGUCAGUGGUGAAAUCUCUCAGCUUAACUGAGAAACUGCCAUUGAUACUGCAGGCCUAGAGUAUAGAUGACGUUGGCGGAAUAUGACAUGUAGUGGUGAAAUACUUAGAUAUGUCAUAGAACACCGAUUGCGAAGGCAGCUAACGAAACUAUAACUGACGCUGAGGCACGAAAGUGCGGGGAUCAAACA